GCGGGAAGAGCUCAAAUUUGUAAUCUGGCACCUUCGGUGUCCGAGUUGUAAUCUCUAGAAGUGUUUUCCGCGUUGGACCGCACACAAGUCUGUUGGAAUACAGCGGCAUAGUGGUGAGACCCCCGUAUAUGGUGCGGACGCCCAACGCUUUGUGAUACACUUUCGAAGAGUCGAGUUGUUUGGGAAUGCAGCUCAAAUUGGGUGGUAAAUUCCAUCUAAAGCUAAAUAUUGGCGAGAGACCGAUAGCGAACAAGUACCGUGAGGGAAAGAUGAAAAGCACUUUGGAAAGAGAGUUAACAGUACGUGAAAUUGUUGGAAGGGAAACGCUUGAAGUCAGACUUGCUUGCCGAGCAAUCGGUUUGCAGGCCAGCAUCAGUUUUCCGGGGUGGAUAAUGGUAGAGAGAAGGUAGCAGUUUCGGCUGUGUUAUAGCUCUCUGCUGGAUACACCUUGGGGGACUGAGGAACGCAGUGUGCCUUACGGCGGAUUUCUCGAGAUCUUCACACUUAGGAUGCUGGUGGAAUGGCUUUAAACGACCCGUCUUG
Molecule: ribosomal RNA, 543 nt
Filed under: Rhodotorula taiwanensis
Lineage: Eukaryota; Fungi; Basidiomycota; Microbotryomycetes; Sporidiobolales; Sporidiobolaceae
Description: LSU rRNA
Rfam family: Eukaryotic large subunit ribosomal RNA
Source: RNAcentral